Molecule: unclassified non-coding RNA, 373 nt
Filed under: uncultured Pseudomonadota bacterium
Lineage: Bacteria; Pseudomonadati; Pseudomonadota
Description: uncultured proteobacterium contains 16S-23S intergenic spacer region
Source: RNAcentral
UCGCGGCUUAUCACCGGCAGUCGCCUUAGAGUGCCCAACUAAAUGAUGGCAACUAAUGGCGAGGGUUGCGCUCGUUGCGGGACUUAACCCAACAUCUCACGACACGAGCUGACGACAGCCAUGCAGCACCUGUGUUCCGACCUAUUGCUAGGAGGAAUCCAUCUCUGGAAACCGUCCAGACAUGUCAAGGGUAGGUAAGGUUGUUCGCGUUGCAUCGAAUUAAUCCACAUCAUCCACCGCUUGUGCGGGUCCCCGUCAAUUCCUUUGAGUUUUAACCUUGCGGCCGUACUCCCCAGGCGGCUCACUUCACGCGUUAGCUUCGGUACCAAGGAAUCGCUCACACCAAGUAUGCAUCGUUUAGGGCGUGGACUAC